Haliotis rubra (blacklip abalone) is the source of this 225-nucleotide long non-coding RNA. RefSeq lists it as uncharacterized. Lineage: Eukaryota; Metazoa; Mollusca; Gastropoda; Lepetellida; Haliotidae. The transcript has 2 exons. The record is from RefSeq and is a predicted model, not a curated record.
AUGGCGAAGUCAAAUGUGUUUAAUUCGCUUUACAAAUCACAAUGCCUACCAAGGAAAGAAUCAAAUGGAAAAGAGAAGAAGCGGUGAAGGUUAAAGCAAGGAAGUGUCGCCGACUAAUAGAUUUCUUCGCUCCUAACAGACCGGACGAGUCAGAGGUAGUUUCCUAUGAAAAUUCAAGGGCACACGAGACAGAGUCAGUUAAUCCAACACAGAAGAAAGAUGGUG